AAUCAACGCUGGCGGCGUGCCUCAGACAUGCAAGUCGAACGAUUAAAGCUCUCUUCGGAGAGUGCAUAAAGUGGCGCACGGGUGAGUAACACGUAAGUAAUCUACCUUCGAGUGGGAAGUAACGUCCGGAACGGACGCUAAUACCGCAUAACGCAGCGGCAUCGCAAGAUGACAGUUGUUAAAGAUUUAUCGCUUGAAGAGGAGCUUGCGGCAGAUAGCUUGUUGGUAAGGUAACGGCUUACCAAGGCUACGAUCUGUAUCCGGUCUAAGAGGACGGUCGGACACACUGACACUGAAUAACGGGUCAGACUCCUACGGGAGGCAGCAGUCGGGAA
Molecule: ribosomal RNA, 335 nt
Filed under: uncultured bacterium
Lineage: Bacteria
Description: bacterial SSU rRNA
Rfam family: Bacterial small subunit ribosomal RNA
Source: RNAcentral